RNAcentral lists this ribosomal RNA (496 nucleotides) under uncultured bacterium. RNAcentral describes it as "partial 16S ribosomal RNA". It matches the Rfam family "Bacterial small subunit ribosomal RNA", at positions 28 to 507 of the family's 1533-position model. The record is from RNAcentral.
GAUGAACGCUGGCGGCGUGCCUAAUACAUGCAAGUCGAGCGAACGGACGAGAAGCUUGCUUCUCUGAUGUUAGCGGCGGACGGGUGAGUAACACGUGGAUACCUACCUAUUAGACUGGGAUAACUUCGGGAAACCGGAGCUAAUACCGGAUAAUAUUUUGAACCGCAUGGUUCAAAAGUAAAAGACGGUCUUGCUGUUACUUAUAGAUUGAUCCGCGCUGCAUUAGCUAGUUGGUAAGGUAACGGCUUACCAAGGCAACGAUGCAUAGCCGACCUGAGAGGGUGAUCGGCCACACUGGAACUGAGACACGGUCCAGACUCCUACGGGAGGCAGCAGUAGGGAAUCUUCCGCAAUGGGCGAAAGCCUGACGGAGCAACGCCGCGUGAGUGAUGAAGGUCUUCGGAUCGUAAAACUCUGUUAUUAGGGAAGAACAUAUGUGUAAGUAACUGUGCACAUCUUGACGGUACCUAAUCAGAAAGCCACGGCUAACUACGUG